This 65-nucleotide transfer RNA is filed under the name Cherax boesemani. Its description in RNAcentral is "tRNA-Tyr". It matches the Rfam family "tRNA". Rfam says of the family: Transfer RNA (tRNA) molecules are approximately 80 nucleotides in length. Lineage: Eukaryota; Metazoa; Arthropoda; Malacostraca; Decapoda; Parastacidae. The record is from RNAcentral.
GAUAAGAUGGCUGAGAUUAAGGCGUUAGAUUGUAAAUCUAGACAGAAGUUAAGACUUUCUUAUCA